UGGACUUCAAUGUCUACAUAGCAGAAGGGACAUAGAAAGUAAGCUCUCGCAUCCUCAUCCCCGUCUGAAUCAUCAAUUACCAAAUGAUUAUCGGAGUCGUAUCUGGCAGCUUGCACAGCAGAGAGAUGCUUAGCGGCGCGAACUCUCGAGGGCCAGAAAUCAACAUCCAUAUUGAGUCAGCUUCCCAAUAAACUGCGUCUAACUCAGCGGUUCCCGGCUAGAAACGUCUGAUUCCGGCGAGACAGUGU
Molecule: unclassified non-coding RNA, 248 nt
Filed under: Hevea brasiliensis (rubber tree)
Lineage: Eukaryota; Viridiplantae; Streptophyta; Magnoliopsida; Malpighiales; Euphorbiaceae
Source: RNAcentral